Long non-coding RNA from Telopea speciosissima, 145 nucleotides. RefSeq lists it as uncharacterized. The transcript is spliced from 3 exons. The record is from RefSeq and is a predicted model, not a curated record. NCBI's taxonomy places the organism in Eukaryota, Viridiplantae, Streptophyta, Magnoliopsida, Proteales, Proteaceae.
UGAGUCUCCCAUUACUUGGGUGAAGAUCUCCACAUGCACUGCCUUAUCCCUUUGUGUUUCCUCAGGUUUCUUAUUGAGGAGGUUUAACAUCUAUGUCUGCAAGUCGUAUUAAAGAUAGUGAGUGAGUGAACAUGCGAGAGAGAAA